Molecule: ribosomal RNA, 254 nt
Filed under: uncultured bacterium
Lineage: Bacteria
Description: partial 16S ribosomal RNA
Rfam family: Bacterial small subunit ribosomal RNA
Source: RNAcentral
CACGUAGGGUGCGAGCGUUGUCCGGAAUUAUUGGGCGUAAAGAGCUCGUAGGCGGUGUGUCGCGUCGGCCGUGAAAACCUGCAGCUUAACUGUGGGCGUGCGGUCGAUACGGGCAUCACUGGAGUUCGGCAGGGGAGACUGGAAUUCCUGGUGUAGCGGUGAAAUGCGCAGAUAUCAGGAGGAACACCAGUGGCGAAGGCGGGUCUCUGGGCCGAUACUGACGCUGAGGUGCGAAAGCGUGGGGAGCAAACAGG